Molecule: ribosomal RNA, 430 nt
Filed under: Pseudomonadota bacterium
Lineage: Bacteria; Pseudomonadati; Pseudomonadota
Description: Proteobacteria bacterium partial 16S ribosomal RNA
Rfam family: Bacterial small subunit ribosomal RNA
Source: RNAcentral
UGGGGAAUAUUGGACAAUGGGCGAAAGCCUGAUCCAGCCAUGCCGCGUGUGUGAAGAAGGCCUUAUGGUUGUAAAGCACUUUAAGCGAGGAGGAGGGUACUGGUAUUAAUACUACCAGGUACUGGACGUUACUCGCAGAAUAAGCACCGGCUAACUCUGUGCCAGCAGCCGCGGUAAUACAGAGGGUGCGAGCGUUAAUCGGAUUUACUGGGCGUAAAGCGUGCGUAGGCGGCUAAUUGAGGCGGAUGUGAAAUCCCCGGGCUUAACUUGGGAAUUGCAUUCGAUACUGGUUAGCUAGAGUGUGGGAGAGGAUGGUAGAAUUCCAGGUGUAGCGGUGAAAUGCGUAGAGAUCUGGAGGAAUACCGAUGGCGAAGGCAGCCAUCUGGCCUAACACUGACGCUGAGGUACGAAAGCAUGGGGAGCAAACAGG